Molecule: small nucleolar RNA, 70 nt
Filed under: Tauraco erythrolophus (red-crested turaco)
Lineage: Eukaryota; Metazoa; Chordata; Aves; Musophagiformes; Musophagidae
Description: Small nucleolar RNA SNORD58
Rfam family: Small nucleolar RNA SNORD58
About the family: snoRNA U58 is found in introns 1, 3 and 6 of the ribosomal protein RPL17 gene in humans.
Source: Rfam by way of RNAcentral
UUGCUGUGAUGACCAUCUUAGGACACCUUUGGAACACCCAUGAAAAAAACCACAAGUUAUUCUGAGCAAC